This 491-nucleotide ribosomal RNA is filed under the name uncultured bacterium. RNAcentral's name for it is "partial 16S ribosomal RNA". It matches the Rfam family "Bacterial small subunit ribosomal RNA", at positions 30 to 507 of the family's 1533-position model. The record is from RNAcentral.
AUUGAACGCUGGCGGCAUGCUUUACACAUGCCAGUCGAACGGUAACAGGCCUUCGGGUGCUGACGAGUGGCGCACGGGUGAGUAAUGCAUCGGAACGUGCCCAGAGGUGGGGGAUAACGCAGCGAAAGCUGUGCUAAUACCGCAUGUGAUCUGAGGAUGAAAGCGGGGGACCAGGCAGCAAUGUUGGCCUCGCGCCUUUGGAGCGGCCGAUGUCAGAUUAGGUAGUUGGUGGGGUAAAGGCCUACCAAGCCGACGAUCUGUAGCUGGUCUGAGAGGACGACCAGCCACACUGGGACUGAGACACGGCCCAGACUCCUACGGGAGGCAGCAGUGGGGAAUUUUGGACAAUGGGCGCAAGCCUGAUCCAGCAAUGCCGCGUGCGGGAAGAAGGCCUUCGGGUUGUAAACCGCUUUUGUACGGAACGAAAAGGCUCUGGCUAAUACCUGGGGCUGAUGACGGUACCGUAAGAAUAAGCACCGGCUAACUACGUG